This 825-nucleotide ribosomal RNA is filed under the name uncultured bacterium. RNAcentral describes it as "bacterial SSU rRNA". It matches the Rfam family "Bacterial small subunit ribosomal RNA", at positions 67 to 926 of the family's 1533-position model. The record is from RNAcentral.
CGCAUUCUUCGGAAUGAGUGGCGCACGGCUGAGGAACACGUGACUAACCUACCCCGGUGUGGGGGAUAACGGGUCGAAAGACUCGCUAAUCCCGCAUACGAUCCGCCUCGGCGGAGGAAAGCCGUAAGGCGCACUGGGCGGGGGUCGCGUCCCAUUAGAUAGUUGGUGUGGUAAUGGCGCACCAAGUCGAUGAUGGGUCUCUGGUCUGAGAGGACGACCAGACAGAUUGGGACUGAGACACGGCCCAAACUCCUACGGGGGGCAGCAGCAAGGAAUUUUCGGCAAUGGGCGCAAGCCUGACCGAGCAACGCCGCGUGGAGGAUGACGGCUCUUGGGUUGUAAACUCCUUUUGGGGGGGACGAUAAUGACGGUACCCUCCGAAUCAGGCCCGGCUAACUACGUGCCAGCAGCCGCGGUAAUACGUAGGGGCCAAGCGUUGUCCGGAAUUACUGGGCGUAAAGCGUGGGUAGGUGGUCGGUGAUGUGCCGCGUGAAAGCGCCGGAGUAAUGCCGGCGAGGUCGCGGUAGACACACGGACUCGAGGCUCGCAGAGGAACGUGGAAUUCCCGGUGUAGUGGUGAAAUGCGUAGAUAUCGGGAGGAACACCAGUGGCGCAAGCGGCGUUCUGGGCGAGACCUGACACUGAGCCACGACGGCGUGGGGAGCAAACAGGAUUAGAUACCCUGGUAGUCCACGCAGUAAACGAUGCAUACCAGGUGUGGGAUGGCGUUCGCGUCGUUCCGUGCCGCAGCUUACGCGAUGAGUAUGCCGCCUGGGGACUACGAGCGCAAGCUUAAAACUCAAAGGAAUUGACGGGGGCCCGCAC